This is a long non-coding RNA of Astatotilapia calliptera (eastern happy), 4278 nucleotides long. The record is from Ensembl. NCBI's taxonomy places the organism in Eukaryota, Metazoa, Chordata, Actinopteri, Cichliformes, Cichlidae.
AUAAAUAAAUCAUAUAAUACAAAAAUCAACUAUUCACAUUUCAAGUUUUAACUAUUUAAAUUUUCAGCUUUUUCCUUUCACAAAUUUAAAGUGAAAAGAACACAAAACACUGCAAACCACAACACAAUUAAAUAUAAAUUAUAAUAUGAAAACUAAAAGAACAUGCAUAUUCUCUGUCAUAUGGACCUGCAUGAAUAAACUUUCUGAAUCCUUUAUCAUCUGCAACCGAAAAUAGUUGUGGAUGAUUACUAUACCUUUCUAAUGUUGUUGUCCCUGCCUCUCUUUCUCUCUCUCUGGCUCUGUUCCUGUGCUACUGAGUGUAACUACCGCCCCUCCCCCCUCUGCCCAGCGUAAAGCACAAGGCUCGCGUGCGGAGUGAAGCGGAAAAAAAGUGCGAGAGAGAGGCUGAGAGAAAGAAAAAAAAAACAAAACCCACGUGACGGCUCGCGAUAAGGAGCCGGCUCGCGUCGUUCACGUCAAAGAGUCGGCUCUAAGAGCCAUUUCGUUCGCGAACGACCCAUCACUAUCCACCAUAGCCUCGUCUCAGUCCUGUGUGCUUGAUCUAAAGUUGACUUUGACCGCAACCCACGUUAAACCAGCAGUUGGUACAACGCUGCAUGAAGUUACAACAUGGUGUGAGAAGUUGGCGAGACCGUGUGAACGGGGACCACGACGCCAUGCAGAUAAACCGAUCCUGGGUGGACAAGCUUGUGAAGAGCUGCAUCUGGUGAAACGAGUUGAGACCCUUGCCAUAACAUCCACUAAAACGAAACUAGCCAAACCACCUUCUACCAAGGAAGAGCUUGUGGAGAUGUAUGCUGAUGUGUUCACAGGCUUAGGUGAGUUCCCUGGAGUUCACCACAUACACACUGACCCAAACGCAACACCUGUGAUUCACGCAUGCAGGAACCACGCUCCUACACUGUGCAAACACCAGAGGGUGAGGUGCUCAGGAGAAACAGGAGACAUCUGAGGAAAAUACAGCCAAGCCUGUUUAAGGACACAUCCAUGGACCCAGAUGUCUGUUCACGCCCAAGAGCCAGUUGUGCCACCAGCAAGUGACACCCCACAACACUCACCUCCUGCAAGUAUGGACAAUACACCCACAUGCUACACACGCAGUGGCCGAGCAAUAAUACGCCCUGCCAGGUAUAGAGACUAAGUGAUUGGGAAACUUAAAGUCACUCUACCCUGUACCUGAGUUGUUCUGUACAAGUUAGAUAACUGUCUUGUUGGAAAAGAGAGAAAAUAUGUCAUGUUUCAUAUGUUCAUUUUGACAUGUCUCAUCCAAUUUGUCAUGUGUUCAUCUGUUUCAAAACACUGCACUGAUAUAUAUUUGCAUUGUUCAAGUGAUAGGCAAUCUAAGGUGUGCUUUACUUAAUGUCUCAAGAAUAUAAUAUUGUUAAUGUUCCUACGAUUUAAAAGGUGCAUUUAUGUUACAAAAUAUUGGCGUUAACCCUUUAGAGCCGGUCGGAGCGGGCAUGCUCUGUUUUGCGUAACUAUUUUUAAAUCCCGGUAGCUCUGCAGCCACGUAAGCUAGCGCAAUAAUUUUUUUUGCAUAUGAAACCGGAGGAGUUGUACUUACAUCUUAUGCCAUCAGCUUGUCCUAGGUCACAGUUUCCUUCCACAUAUAGCUUUGCAAAAACAGCAUAAAAAGCACUUGCAGCAACAAAAACAUAAUAUUCCAGAAACACGCUUUGCCGAUCCGAUCAGCUGUUCAUAACACUUCCUACGUUGGAAUAGACGUCAGCGCGAACUUUUGCAUGUCCGCCAUUACCUGCCCAUAACGGGAGGUGAUGUAAUUUUCGCGGAAAUGUAGUUUUUUUUUAUCAUCAGGGCCUCAGGGCCUAUACUGGUGUUUUUAAAAGUUAUCUUUGACUUUAUGACUUUCUGUGUCUUUUCUGGGAUGCUUAGGACUCAUAUUGCUCUGCUGGAAAUAGUUUAUUUUGAUGCACCUGCUGCUUUUUUGCAAAUUUGCAGUAUAAUAUUUAUUUCCGUUUUUCCUGCAGUAUAUAAAAAUUGGUGUAUUUCAAAAAUAAAACUAUGAAGACACUCAAAAUAAAUUUCCUGUGGUAGGAAACUAUUUUGUGCAACUUUUUUGUAUUUACAGUUUUGAGGGAUAAGCCUCUCAAAUUUCUCUAACUAGAAAUAUGUGUUAAAAAAGCAAAAAUGAUUUUAAAUUUUUUUGUAGUUUAUUGCACUUUUUUGCUAUUUAUGUAAUUACUAUGCACUUAAUGAAUACAUAUUAUUAAAAUCUGGGCUAUAAUUGUUGUAUUGAUGUAUAGCAACUUGAAAUGCUCCCAAAAAUGGCUCCACAGCCUGUAAAAAUAUGAUAUAAGCUCUGGCGGACUUGGUUCUGUGGUAGUAUCUUUAUCUCGGAAAAGAGGGAUGUGGUAUAUUGCAAUAAGCAGCAGCUAUUACUACCUCCCACCAGUAGGUGGUACUGUGGUAUUGUAUGUGAUUGAAAGGGAGCUGAGUAAAAAGACCCGACCUCCACCAUAGCCUCGUCUCAGUCCUGUGUGCUUGAUCUAAAGUUGACUUUGACCGCAACCCACGUUAAACCAGCAGUUGGUACAACGCUGCAUGAAGUUACAACAGUCCCCCUGCUAGCUUAUGCUUACAAAUGGACCGUGUGCCAUCGUGGUCGCACAGACGGACACACCGCGCUGCUCUGCUCGCUAAGCUAACUAAGCUUUGGGAAACAAAAGAAAAAGCCCGAUACUGGUUAUGUUACACUGGCAGCAUGAAGUCAGUGCAUUAUAUUGAAUCAUUAUCAUCUGUUAGCUAUCCGUCUGUCUCAGCGUGUUAGCCCUGCGACAGACUGGCAACCUGUCCACAGUGUCCCUCGCCUCUCACCCUGAGACAGCUCGGAUAGGCUCCAGCCACCCCCCCUCUUCUUCUCAUUUCUUUCUUCUUUUAACCCUUCCAGAAGGAUAACUCUUCCACACUAGGGAUGGGUACCGGUAUAAACGGUAGUAACCAGACCGAAAAGCAGCGCACAUUUCGGUGCUUUAUUUCGGUGCUUUUUUUCCUGAGACGUCACACACUUUGAAUUCUAGCCAAUCAUUUUACGUUUCCGAGGAUAGUAGGCGGGGCCAGGUACGUACGUUCUUUUAGAGCAGAGCUACAGAUUAAAAAUGCCCAAGGUGAAGCGGUCAAAGUCUGGCUGUACUUCACAGCAAAAGAUGCAAACUCAGCAGCAACAAGUGCUUUAAGCUGAUACUGUGAUACUGUCAAAGGAGGUAACACCUCGAAUCCGAUGAAACACCUGGCGACGCAUAGCGUUUUUUUUAAAAGCCGAAAAAUGUGCUGUAUUUGAUAGCUUGCUGCGAGACCUCACACCAAGCACAUCUACUGCGGGUCGGUUGCCUGUUAUGCAACAUCCCCCAAAAACACGAAGAGGAGAGUCCUGGCCCCUAGCCCUGCCAGUGUAGCAGAAAUGAUGAGGAUGAUGAUGCAGCAGCCGUUCUUCUCUGCGUGAGUAGCUUAAUGUUGUUCGUGUGUAAUUUACGUUGAGUAGGCUAACCACGUUAUUACAUUAAUGCAUGUAAGGUGAACUAGCAAACAUCAUCAUAGCUACAUGCUGCUGUCUUCUUGUUUGAUGGCAGAUACUCCCUUCACAAUGGCCAAAAAGGCUAAAAUGACCAAAGAAAAAGUGGAAAACAGUUAAACAUGAGAGGUUUUUGGACAAAGUUUGUGUUUUUUCCAUUGUUUAAGCACUGCUUCCAGCCAACAGUGAUACCAUAUAUGCCCCAUAGCUGCAGAAAAGGCUAACAUUGUUAUCUUUUUACAAAAAAAACCAGCUGAACAUGAGAGGUUUUUGGACCAAUUUUGUGUUCUCCAUUCUUUAAGCACCGGUUUAAGCACCGGCACUGUUUCAAAAGUACCGAUUUGGCACCGGUAUCGGAUAAAACCUAAACGAUACCCACCCCUACUCUUCACUGUCAUUGACCUACAUCAGUCAUCAGGUUGGUUUAAACAGAAUCACAAAGACAGGAACGACAGUUGGUGGAGUCAGGUGAGGCUCGCUCAUUGCAUCCUUUCUAUCCUCAACAGGACAUUUUAUAAUAAGAACACUUGGAGGGAAAGUUGUUCAAGCAACAGUGUGUGGCGGCCGAACACAUCAGCAGCCAUCGUAGCCUGGAACAUUUCUGUGUUACCAGACUUGUUGUUGUUGUUGUUGUUGUUGUUGUUGUGAGAACACUAAUAUCCAACUCGGUAAAUCGGACAUUAAAAACAUUUGCAACAAAACAACAAAAUAAAAAAUGAAUGUUCCAG